Anneissia japonica is the source of this 516-nucleotide long non-coding RNA. RefSeq lists it as uncharacterized. NCBI's taxonomy places the organism in Eukaryota, Metazoa, Echinodermata, Crinoidea, Comatulida, Comatulidae. The record is from RefSeq and is a predicted model, not a curated record. The transcript is spliced from 4 exons.
UCAUCAUAUUAAUUUUGAUCAAAUUAUUUACAGAUCCACAAAUCUGUAUUGCGUUGAAUGGGAAACCGGAGCGUUACGAUAAUUUAACUGACAAUGCAGUAAAAAAUGGUUUAAAUAAUAAUACGACGAAGGUUAAAGUCGGAACUCUCAUAUUGGAAGUCUCGAAUUAUGAUAGCAAUCGGAACGAAAUUUCUGCAGGCAUCAACAUAGAAUUUAAGUACCCAAAUUCACAAUUUAACUCAUUGCCGAAGUGGCAACCUACAUGUGCGUUCUUCAACGAAACACUCAGUUAUUGGUCAACAACAGGAUGCAAGACUAAUAGUGCGACAUAUUUUGUCAAAUGCACUUGUGACCAUACAACCAGCUACGCGAUCCUUUUUCAGACCAGCGAAUCUGAUAAUGAUGCGGUAUGUAAUUGUCAAAUAAUUGAAAUAGCCAUACGAUAUAUCUAUGCCCUAUCUGAGUGAAGAAUUUGCUUUUUUUUAAAUUUUUUAAAUCUUAUAUUGUAAACACAAA